GCCAUCAUAGCUCAGUGGCAGAGCACUGGUCUUGUAAACCAGGUGUCCUGAGUUCGAUCCUCACUGGUGGCU
This 72-nucleotide transfer RNA is filed under the name Trichonephila inaurata madagascariensis. It matches the Rfam family "tRNA". Rfam says of the family: Transfer RNA (tRNA) molecules are approximately 80 nucleotides in length. Their secondary structure includes four short double-helical elements and three loops (D, anti-codon, and T loops). Lineage: Eukaryota; Metazoa; Arthropoda; Arachnida; Araneae; Nephilidae. The record is from Rfam by way of RNAcentral.